This is a non-coding RNA of Heterocephalus glaber (naked mole-rat), 609 nucleotides long. NCBI's taxonomy places the organism in Eukaryota, Metazoa, Chordata, Mammalia, Rodentia, Bathyergidae. The record is from RefSeq and is a predicted model, not a curated record.
UGGGAAGUCUGGUGUCCACUCCACCUGGCUGCACCCUCCUAGUGGCCUCUGGGAAGGAGCUCCGUUCUCACCUCAGUGCCAGGGUCCCAAGCAAAGUCCUUCCGGCAGAUGUGGGCCAUGAUCCCUGCAGCCAGCGCGUCACCCAGCACAUUAAUCAUGGUGCGGAAACGGUCCCUGGAGAGACAAGGCCCCCCCCAGAUUAUGUGCCAGGCCUGUGUAGAUGAGGAAAGCAGCCGUGCUGUGACAAACAAAUGCAAACACAGUAGUGCCCCAUGGCCCUCUCCUCUGGGGAAGGGGCUCAGCUCUCUACCCUGCCAUGACUGUCCUGGCUGGGAAUGGGGCCGGGCCGGGCACAGGGUGCACUCACAGAGCCCAGUCCACGGCGAUGAUGAGGUUGAUAUCGUCAGUGGGCAGUCCCACAGAGCACCAUCGCCAUUCCCAGCUUUGUGAAGUGGGCUGCAGACAAAUGAUGGCCGGACAGAGGGACAGAGUUCUGUGCUGCCCACCCUACCCCUCUCAUCACCCCGGGCUACCUGGAGGAGGUGGCCAGCGCAAUGAGCAGGGCCUGGAGGACACCACGGAUGAAGACGAUGGGGUUCUUCUUCGUGA